GGACUGGUCAAUUUAUUGGACAGUUAGUGGCGAAAGGGUUAGUAACGGAUGGGUAACGUACCCUGUGCUUUGGGAUAGCGUCAGUUGCCUUCGGGCAACUUUCCGAAAGGGGCGGUAAUACCAAAUAAUUUCAUUUGUCGAUAGGCAGAUGAUCAAAGAUUUAUCGGCGCAGGAGCGGCCUGUCUCCUAUCAGCUUGUUGGUGAGGUAAUGGCUCACCAAGGCAGCGACGGGUAGCGGGACUGAGAGGUUGACCCGCAACAUCGGGACUGAGACACUGCCCGGACCUCCACGGAGGGCUGCAGUAACGGAUAUUGUGCAAUGGGCGAAAGCCUGACACAGCGACGCCGCGUGUAGGAGGAAGUCUUUCGGGAUGUAAACUACUGUCAGGGGGAAGAAAGUGCGCUUCGGCGUAUUGAUCUAACCCAGAGGAAGUCACGGCUAACUUCGUGCCAGCAGCCGCGGUAAGACGAAGGUGGCAAGCGUUGUUCGGUAUUACUGGGCUUAAAGCGUGUGUAGGCGGAAAAGUAAGCGUCUUGUGAAAUCCCCCGGCUUAACCGGGGAAUUGCGUGACGUACUGCUUUUCUUGAGGCAAGUAGGGGUGCAUGGAACUCUUGGUGGAGCGGUGGAAUGCGUAGAUAUCAAGAGGAACGCCAGUGGAGAAAUCGGUGCACUGGGCUUGUCCUGACGCUGAGACACGAAAGCGUGGGGAGCGAACGGGAUUAGAUACCCCGGUAGUCCACGCCGUAAACGAUGCCUACUAGGUUGUGGUGGUUCUGACACCAGCACAGCCGAAGCAAAAGUGCUAAGUAGGCCGCCUGGGGAGUACGGUCGCAAGGCUAAAACUCAAAGGAAUUGACGGGGGCUCACACAAGCGGUGGA
RNAcentral lists this ribosomal RNA (880 nucleotides) under uncultured bacterium. RNAcentral's name for it is "bacterial SSU rRNA". It matches the Rfam family "Bacterial small subunit ribosomal RNA", at positions 68 to 936 of the family's 1533-position model. The record is from RNAcentral.